This is a non-coding RNA of Leptonychotes weddellii (Weddell seal), 913 nucleotides long. Lineage: Eukaryota; Metazoa; Chordata; Mammalia; Carnivora; Phocidae. The record is from RefSeq and is a predicted model, not a curated record.
AUGGGUACAAGAAUAAUCCUUUUAUGUCAAUUCACUGAUGAGAAUCUGGGGACCAUCAAGGUAGUGAAGACAGGUGAGCUAUGAAACUAUGACAAGUACGAGUCUGUAUUAUUGAAGAAUGGCUGGGACCCUGGGGAAGAGGGACUGGACAGGACUCACCAGAAUCUCCUUCUGCUGAUAGACUGUCCCCUGAACUGAGCUGAACUACUUUGGUUUAUACACACACACCAAGAAUGUGCUGGCUGAAGUGAACCCCCAGACUUGAAUUCCAGGAAACUUUCACCACGUUUGUGAACUCAUGGUUCAGCUCUUAACAAAAACUAAGUGUCCAAACAGCUGAUGGCCUCAAGAAUCCAAUGUGAGAACACAUCCAAUUUGAAUGUAUGAAAAUUGUCAUAUCUUUCUCCAUCCCAGUGAUGUGUGAGACUUGGUGCCCAGAAAUGACCCCAUUGUUUUUGUGAUGGGUGCAAAUACCCAAGUCAAUGUGCACUAUUCGCAGAAGAUGGUGUCCAUCACCAAAAAAUAACCUAUCUGCUGCCAUCAAGUGUGCAAAACUGACCAGAACGCUUCAAGUAUGUGUAGUAAUUUAACAAAAGACCCUUCUUCGAAAACACACACUAUUCACAUAGCAUAAUUUGAACCACUUAGUAAGUCACUGUUCGGGAAUGCCGUUCUUACAAUAAGACUGUGCAGUUUUGGGAAAGCAAGGACAUACAUAUCCCAUUUGAUUACCCUAUAAAUGAAGUUGGAACAAAAAUUUUUUCAACUUGAAAAUCAAUGGAAAAAUAAACCCAUUUUCUCUGAAAAUGAAUAUAUUCAUUCUAUAUGUACAGCAUCUUCAAUAAACCUGCAACCUAAAAAUGAAAAUCAAUACUGCCUCAGAUACUAAUACCCUAAUUGAUACUAAAAAAAA